ACUGAGCGGCGGACGGGUGAGUAACGCGUGGGCAACCUGCCUUACACAGGGGGAUAACAGUUAGAAAUGACUGCUAAUACCGCAUAAGACCACAGGACUGCAUGGUCCGGUGGUAAAAACUCCGGUGGUGUAAGAUGGGCCCGCGUCUGAUUAGGUAGUUGGCGGGGUAACGGCCCACCAAGCCGACGAUCAGUAGCCGACCUGAGAGGGUGACCGGCCACAUUGGGACUGAGACACGGCCCAGACUCCUACGGAAGGCAGCAG
RNAcentral lists this ribosomal RNA (264 nucleotides) under uncultured bacterium. Its description in RNAcentral is "partial 16S ribosomal RNA". It matches the Rfam family "Bacterial small subunit ribosomal RNA", at positions 90 to 354 of the family's 1533-position model. The record is from RNAcentral.